This 490-nucleotide ribosomal RNA is filed under the name uncultured bacterium. Its description in RNAcentral is "partial 16S ribosomal RNA". It matches the Rfam family "Bacterial small subunit ribosomal RNA", at positions 30 to 507 of the family's 1533-position model. The record is from RNAcentral.
AUUGAACGCUGGCGGCAGGCCUAACACAUGCAAGUCGAACGGUAACAGGAAGCAGCUUGCUGCUUCGCUGACGAGUGGCGGACGGGUGAGUAAUGUCUGGGAAGCUGCCUGAUGGAGGGGGAUAACUACUGGAAACGGUAGCUAAUACCGCAUAAUGUCGCAAGACCAAAGAGGGGGACCUUCGGGCCUCUUGCCAUCGGAUGUGCCCAGAUGGGAUUAGCUUGUUGGUGGGGUAACGGCUCACCAAGGCGACGAUCCCUGGCUGGUCUGAGAGGAUGACCAGCCACACUGGGACUGAGACACGGUCCAGACUCCUACGGGAGGCAGCAGUGGGGAAUAUUGCACAAUGGGCGCAAGCCUGAUGCAGCCAUGCCGCGUGUAUGAAGAAGGCCUUCGGGUUGUAAAGUACUUUCAGCGGGGAGGAAGGGAGUAAAGUUAAUACCUUUGCUCAUUGACGUUACCCGCAGAAGAAGCACCGGCUAACUCCGUG